This 768-nucleotide ribosomal RNA is filed under the name uncultured marine microorganism. RNAcentral describes it as "bacterial SSU rRNA". It matches the Rfam family "Bacterial small subunit ribosomal RNA", at positions 734 to 1501 of the family's 1533-position model. The record is from RNAcentral.
CCAUCACUGACGCUCAUGGACGAAAGCCAGGGGAGCGAAAGGGAUUAGAUACCCCUGUAGUCCUGGCCGUAAACGAUGAACACUAGGUGCCGGGGGAAUCGACCCCCUCGGUGUCGUAGCCAACGCGUUAAGUGUUCCGCCUGGGGAGUACGCACGCAAGUGUGAAACUCAAAGGAAUUGACGGGGGCCCGCACAAGCGGUGGAGUAUGUGGUUUAAUUCGAUGCAACGCGAAGAACCUUACCAGGGUUUGACAUCCUGCGAAUCUCUUGGAAACAGGAGAGUGCCUUCGGGAACGCAGUGACAGGUGGUGCAUGGCUGUCGUCAGCUCGUGUCGUGAGAUGUUGGGUUAAGUCCCGCAACGAGCGCAACCCACGUCUUUAGUUGCCAGCAUUUAGUUGGGCACUCUAGAGAGACUGCCGGUGAUAAACCGGAGGAAGGUGUGGAUGACGUCAAGUCAUCAUGCCCCUUACAUCCUGGGCUACACACGUACUACAAUGCUACGGACAGAGGGCAGCAAGUUCGCGAGGACAAGCAAAUCCCAUAAACCGUGGCUCAGUUCAGAUCGUAGGCUGCAACUCGCCUACGUGAAGGCGGAAUCGCUAGUAAUCGCAGGUCAGCAUACUGCGGUGAAUACGUUCCCGGGCCUUGUACACACCGCCCGUCACACCAUGGAAGUUGGCCACGCCCGAAGCCGUUACUCCAACCCUUGUGGAGGAGGACGUCGAAGGUGGGGCUGAUGACUGGGGUGAAGUCGUAACAAGGUAACC